This 312-nucleotide ribosomal RNA is filed under the name uncultured Anaerolineaceae bacterium. RNAcentral's name for it is "bacterial SSU rRNA". It matches the Rfam family "Bacterial small subunit ribosomal RNA", at positions 1056 to 1382 of the family's 1533-position model. The record is from RNAcentral. Lineage: Bacteria; Bacillati; Chloroflexota; Anaerolineae; Anaerolineales; Anaerolineaceae.
CAGCUCGUGUCGUGAGAUGUUCGGUUAAGUCCGCUAACGAGCGCAACCCUCGCUGUGUGUUAUAUGUGUCACACAGGACUGGCUGGUAUUAAGCCGGAGGAAGGUGGGACGACGUCAAGUCAGCAUGACCUUUAUAUCCAGGGCUACACACACGCUACAAUGGUCAGUACAAUGGGUUGCCAAGCCGCGAGGCGGAGCCAAUCCUAAAAAGCUGGCCUCAGUCCGGAUCGCAGUCUGCAACUCGACUGCGUGAAGUUGGAAUCGCUAGUAAUCGUAGAUCAGCAUGCUACGGUGAAUACGUUCCCGGGCCUU